AACGAACGCUGGCGGCAUGCCUAACACAUGCAAGUCGAACGAGACCUUCGGGCCUAGUGGCGCACGGGUGCGUAACGCGUGGGAACCUGCCCUUAGGUUCGGAAUAACUCCCCGAAAGGGGUGCUAAUACCGGAUAAUGUCUUCGGACCAAAGAUUUAUCGCCUUUGGAUGGGCCCGCGUUGGAUUAGCUAGUUGGUAGGGUAAAAGCCUACCAAGGCGACGAUCCAUAGCUGGUCUGAGAGGAUGAUCAGCCACACUGGGACUGAGACACGGCCCAGACUCCUACGGGAGGCAGCAGGGGGGAAUAUUGGACAAUGGGCGAAAGCCUGAUCCAGCAAUGCCGGGUGAGUGAUGAAGGCCUUAGGGUUGUAAAGCUCUUUUACCCGGGAUGAUAAGGACAGUACCGGGAGAAUAAGCUCCGGCUAACUCCGU
RNAcentral lists this ribosomal RNA (432 nucleotides) under uncultured bacterium. Its description in RNAcentral is "partial 16S ribosomal RNA". It matches the Rfam family "Bacterial small subunit ribosomal RNA", at positions 29 to 506 of the family's 1533-position model. The record is from RNAcentral.